This 84-nucleotide microRNA precursor is filed under the name Podarcis lilfordi (Lilford's wall lizard). Lineage: Eukaryota; Metazoa; Chordata; Lepidosauria; Squamata; Lacertidae. The record is from RNAcentral.
ACACUUUUGUGUGUGUGUGUGUGUGUGUGUGUGUGUGUACACACACACACACACACACACACACACACAUACACAUUUCAGUCU